CUCAGGGCAGAGAGCAUGGAGCCACAGCUGGGCAGUCCGAUUUGCCUUACAGGGCCUGUGUCAUCUGCUUUUUGAGGAAUUCAGGGGGUAAGGAGCUGGGGCUGCCAACUCCAGUACAGUAGGAAGAAACUGAACUUACAGGCAUUAAGAAAUAUGACCAAAGACAUAGAGGGCUGGGACUCACACUCGGACACAAGACUCUGAUGGCAAGGGCACACUCUCAAUUGCUGGGACAGCUGCCUCUUCGGGCCUGGAGCUAGAAGAUGGGAGGGAUGACUACAGAGCAGUGUUUUUGGAUAUGGAAGUUUUUCGGGAGGAGCUUACAGGACCUACAGGGAAGGAGGAAGGUCUUUCAGCGUUGUUGCUGCUAAAACAUGCCUAUGGAAUCCUAGGAGUCUGCGCAGGAGGCGGGGGGACUAACCUUUGUGCCUUUCCUCCUGCGAUUUCACGGGGGAGCCUUCCACCCGGAUGACUGCACAUGCUCCUGGCCACGACUGUGGAGGAAUUGCCCUUUGGAUGGAGCACGUUCAAGAACUGUGUGAAAGCACCGAGUUCCUGCAUUCCCCUCUGCCCGUGCUCUUUUGCAGGGCUGGGAUGCACCCACACAGCAGCCUGCAACUGGGGUCCAGAAGCCCCAUGCUUCGGUGUUGCAGUGGAAUGCUGGGGUGAAGAAUCUCCACCACUGAUGUCCUUGCACCAUCAUCUAUCUGCGUGCUGCAGACUACCGAAUGAAAUGCACUUUGGACCACACAGGAGCAUCCUUCAUCCCUGUAUUGACUUUGUUUCUCAGGUUAGGAACAAGGAUUCAGGAGAAAUCAACCAGCAAGGCAGGGACUAGAAAGCAAGG
Long non-coding RNA from Mesocricetus auratus (golden hamster), 847 nucleotides. RefSeq lists it as uncharacterized. NCBI's taxonomy places the organism in Eukaryota, Metazoa, Chordata, Mammalia, Rodentia, Cricetidae. The record is from RefSeq and is a predicted model, not a curated record. The transcript has 4 exons.